CGUGAGCGGCGGACGGGGGAGUAACGCGUGGGUAACCUGCCUCAUACAGGGGGAUAACAGUUAGAAAUGACUGCUAAUACCGCAUAAGACCACGGUACCGCAUGGUACAGUGGUAAAAACUCCGGUGGUAUGAGAUGGACCCGCGUCUGAUUAGGUAGUUGGUGGGGUAACGGCCUACCAAGCCGACGAUCAGUAGCCGACCUGAGAGGGUGACCGGCCACAUUGGGACUGAGACACGGCCCAG
This 244-nucleotide ribosomal RNA is filed under the name uncultured bacterium. RNAcentral's name for it is "partial 16S ribosomal RNA". It matches the Rfam family "Bacterial small subunit ribosomal RNA", at positions 90 to 334 of the family's 1533-position model. The record is from RNAcentral.